AGCCUGACUCCCUGGGCUUCUGCUGGGUCCUGGUUUUGGCAUAGUUGUUUUGCGCCACCGGCUGCUGCGUUUGGGGUCUUUUACUCCAGGCUCCCGGGGCUUGGUCUGCGACUCAACUAUGUACCACAACAGUAGCCAGAAGCGGCACUGGACUUUCGCCAGUGAGGAGCAGCUGGCGCGACUGCGGGCCGACGCCAAUCGCAAAUUCAAAUGCAAAGCGGUGGCCAACGGGAAGAUUCUUCCAAAUGAUCCAGUGUUUCUUGAGCCUCAGGAAGAAAUGACACUCUGCAAAUACUAUGAGAAAAGAUUAUUGGAAUUCUGUUCAGUGUUUAAGCCAGCAAUGCCAAGAUCUGUUGUGGGUACAGCCUGUAUGUAUUUCAAGCGUUUUUAUCUUAAUAACUCAGUAAUGGAAUAUCACCCUCGGAUAAUAAUGCUCACUUGUGCAUUUUUGGCCUGCAAAGUAGAUGAAUUCAAUGUAUCGAGUCUUCAGUUUGUUGGAAACCUUCGGGAGAGUCCUCUAGGACGGGAGAAGGCACUGGAACAGAUUUUGGAAUAUGAAUUACUUCUUAUACAGCAACUUAAUUUUCACCUUAUUGUGCACAAUCCUUACAGACCAUUUGAGGGCUUCCUCAUUGAUUUAAAGACUCGUUACCCCAUGUUGGAGAAUCCAGAGAUUUUGAGGAAAACAGCUGAUGACUUUCUUAACAGAAUUGCGUUGACGGAUGCUUGCCUUUUGUACACGCCUUCACAAAUUGCCCUGACUGCCAUUUUAUCUAGUGCCUCCAGGGCUGGAAUUACUAUGGAAAGUUAUUUAUCAGAGAGUCUGAUGCUGAGAGAGAAUAGAACUUGCUUGUCACAGUUACUAGAUAUAAUGAAAAGCAUGAGAAACUUAGUAAAAAAGUGUGAACCACCCAGACCUGAAGAAGUUGCUGUUCUGAAACAGAAGUUGGAGCGAUGUCAUUCUGCCGAGCUUGCACUUAAUAUAACUACGAAGAAGAGGAAAGGCUAUGAAGAUGAUGAUUAUGUCUCAAAGAAAUCCAAACAUGAGGUAUGUUUACUCCAAAGGUGAACUUUAAGUCAUUUUUGUUACACAUUCUAAGUGUGACCACAUUGUUAAGCUUUAUUGUUCCAGAGUACACGCAUUACAGAUAGAGCUGUGGUUUUUUUCAUUUUUUGCAUACUUUUUUUGUGUAAACUGUCCAUUAUUAAAGGGAUUUUUCUUACUUCUGUCUUAGCCUGUCAGCAGUAUAAGUACUUGACGAAGAAUCUUUCUUACGUUCAUAGAAGGCAGCAUGGAUACACACACAUACUAAAUUUUUGCUUUAUUACUUAUUCUCCAAGGAUUCUUCCUUUGCCCCUUUUAAAAAAUUGUAACUGGCAAAGCCAAGGCAAAUGAAUAGUCAAUAGGCAGAAGGUCUCAGCUAUAACCUUUAUUCCUCAUUGGAAUGGUCUGGUGAGACCACACCAUAAUUAUUGUAAGAUUGAACUACUACAAAUUUUCCUGGUUUAUUUAUCUUCUGUAAUCCGCAUAGGUAAAAGGAGAACAUUUUCCUAAAGGGAGGCAAGGAGGUAAACAAUCUGGUUAACGCUUCAGUGUUAUCCUUACCACAUUUUUUUUCCUUCCUAGGAAGAAUGGACUGAUGACGACCUGGUAGACUCUUUCUAAUCAUUUGAAGAUGAUUUGUCAAUGCCAACUAACCAACAGAAAUAGGAAGCAUAUCUGGCAUUUAACAUUAUUUAAAAAGUAUAAUGUGAAAACAUCAAACUAUAUUAAAAUUUUCUAUUUGUUAAAUUUUUUUCCAUUCACUGUAGUUUUAUGAAAAAUAUCUUCAAAAUAGCCAGAAUAAUACCUGGUUAAGAUAAUCUUUUAACAUCAAAUUAGUUGUUUUAUGAUAGUCAAUUAAAGCUGUACUUUAUUUGCCUA
RNA transcript from Galeopterus variegatus (Sunda flying lemur), 1924 nucleotides. It is a transcript of the gene named cyclin H, with no coding region annotated. NCBI's taxonomy places the organism in Eukaryota, Metazoa, Chordata, Mammalia, Dermoptera, Cynocephalidae. The record is from RefSeq and is a predicted model, not a curated record. The transcript has 9 exons.